CGAAUAAUAAAUAAUUCCAUGAAGACGAGGCCUAAGGAACCUGUGAAUGUGAGAUUAUUUGAAAAAGUUGUCUCUGUCAAGGCAAGUGUUAAGGAUGUGAGGGCCUCCUGGUUUAGGGUGGGUUUUGACCCCAAUAACAAGUGUUUGUGUAUGACAAGAAACUAGAAUAAGACCCAGAGGAGAGGGUUUCACAAUUUAUAGUUGCUUCCAUCAGGCUGAAAAAUCUCCUCAUGGGAGGAGAGGGAAGGGUAACGGCUCAUGAAACUUAAAAGGAACUUACAAGAUGUAUGGGUCCCCUCAGGAAGUUACGUAAGCAGUAGGCAAGUGCUGGAAAAGAGUCUUCAGUGGUAUCGCUGCCUGCAGGUUGUCCAGGGCACUCUCACGAUGCAGGUACCCAAGUCACCUGUGUUCCUGUAACACCUGAGAGAUUCACUGCCUCACCAGGCUGGACUUAGAUGAAAUCAUCCCUUGGGUCUAGGUGAGCUCUCAACGUGAGGUGAAUACAUAUUUGUUCGUGUUGCCUCAGGAAAUGUGAAUUACUGCUCCGGGGUAUACCAGCUGGCCAGAGUCAAGGAAGGAUCUCUCCUAUGGCCUUUGCUGGGAGUGCUGCGCUGCUGAAACCUUGACUUUGGACUCAAAGCUUCCAGCACUGAGUAUCUGCUGUGAUCACUUAACAGAUACACACCACGGCCUUCAUUAUUGGCGAGGAAGGCUGGGAUAGGGCAGCUUUAUCUGGGAAUACUGCAGCAGCCAAGAACACAGGCAUCCCAUUGAUAAGGAAGAUGGAGGGCAGUGGAGUUUGCAUAGGGGAUUUUUAUCAAGACCCUUUCAGCUCCUGUGAAAUGGAAAGUGAACACGCAAAGGCCCCUUGAGAACACAGGAAAGCAGCCGUCUAAAGCCGGGAAGAGAAGCUUCUUCAGAAACAAAUCCUGAUAGCUCCUGGACCAUGGAUUUUUAGAUCCCAGAACUAUGAAAAAACUAAGCAUCUAUUUGGUUUUUUUUUCAACUACCUUUGGUCUGUAAUACUUGUUUUGUCAUCUGGAACUAACUACUAUACCUCCCUACCCCUAGAGAAAAACAAACGGAAAAGAGCCAAUAUAAGAAUGAUUUCUUCUGCCGUGGCAGGAAAGGAACGGUGGUGGGAGUGGUUCUAUCCAGACUGGUGGAAGGAUCUAGACUCUCCACAUCACAGUGGACCGGAAACAGAAUACGAAGCAAAGGUGGGAGUAGACCCCAGAUACCUGCUCCCAGUGAACUUCUGCCACCCAAGCCACUUCCUAAAGAUCCACAGCCUUCAAAAUAGAUUCCAAAAGCGGGGGACUGAGCAUUCAAAACACAGUCAGGCUGCCACAGCAUUUUAUGCAUGAGGAGGGCAUUGCGGGAAAGUUUAGGGCAGGGGAGUGACAUAGGUUGAUUUAUACAUGUAAAAGACAAGUCACUCCCAUGUACUGUGAGACACAGAGACAGGAACAGGGGAGUGUGGGAGCAGGGAGAGCUGUCACAAAAUUACUUCAGUAGAGUAGACCAGAAGUAAAACUUGGAAUAGCCAGAUAGACGUGGGGGUGGUGAUAUACUU
Rattus norvegicus (Norway rat) is the source of this 1576-nucleotide non-coding RNA. Lineage: Eukaryota; Metazoa; Chordata; Mammalia; Rodentia; Muridae. The record is from RefSeq and is a predicted model, not a curated record.